RNAcentral lists this ribosomal RNA (460 nucleotides) under uncultured bacterium. Its description in RNAcentral is "partial 16S ribosomal RNA". It matches the Rfam family "Bacterial small subunit ribosomal RNA", at positions 338 to 795 of the family's 1533-position model. The record is from RNAcentral.
CCUACGGGUGGCAGCAGUGAGGAAUAUUGGUCAAUGGCCGGAAGGCUGAACCAGCCAUGCCGCGUGAAGGUCAGUGCCCUAUGGGCGUUAAACUUCUUUUGUGCGGGAGCAAUAAUGGUCACGUGUGGCCAGACGAGAGUACCGUACGAAUAAGCAUCGGCUAACUCCGUGCCAGCAGCCGCGGUAAUACGGGGGAUGCAAGCGUUAUCCGGAUUUAUUGGGUUUAAAGGGUGCGUAGGCUGUGAGGUAAGUCAGCGGUGAAAUGUCCCCGCUCAACGGGGUGAAGUGCCAUUGAUACUGCCUGGCUGGAAUGCGGAUGCCGUGGGAGGAAUGUGUGGCGUAGCGGUGAAAUGCAUAGAUAUCACACAGAACACCGAUUGCGAAGGCAUCUCACGAAGCCGCGAUUGACGCUGAUGCACGAAAGCGUGGGUAUCAAACAGGAUUAGAUACCCCAGUAGUC